UGUUGGAGUAUGCAUUGGUGUAUGGGGAUUAUAAGGGUAUACCAAAGCAACAAAUUAGGGAUCAUAUGGCUAAAGGAUUGGAUAUUGUGUUGAGAGUUGAUAUACAAGGUGCAGCAACACUGAGGAGGAUUUUGAGAAAUUCUGCAGUGUUUGUGUUCUUGGUGGCGGAGAGUGAAGAUGCAUUGGUUAAGAGGUUGAUUGAUAGGAAGACUGAGACUAAAGAGACUUUGCUAGUGAGAAUUGCAACGUCUCGAGAGGAAGUGAGGCAUAUGGGGGAGUUUGAUUAUGUGGUAGUGAAUAGAGAAGGAGAGUUGGAGAAUUCUGUUAAGUUAAUGGAGUCUAUUAUUGAUGCUGAGAAAGCUAAAGUGAGGCAAAG
RNAcentral lists this unclassified non-coding RNA (376 nucleotides) under Hevea brasiliensis (rubber tree). The record is from RNAcentral. Lineage: Eukaryota; Viridiplantae; Streptophyta; Magnoliopsida; Malpighiales; Euphorbiaceae.